ACACUCCUGCGGGAGGCAGCAGUGGGGAAUAUUGCACAAUGGGCGCAAGCCUGAUGCAGCCAUGCCGCGUGUAUGAAGAAGGCCUUCGGGUUGUAAAGUACUUUCAGUGGGGAGGAAGGCGAUAAGGUUAAUAACCUUGUUGAUUGACGUUACCCGCAGAAGAAGCACCGGCUAACUCCGUGCCAGCAGCCGCGGUAAUACGGAGGGUGCAAGCGUUAAUCGGAAUUACUGGGCGUAAAGCGCACGCAGGCGGUCUGUCAAGUCGGAUGUGAAAUCCCCGGGCUCAACCUGGGAACUGCAUUCGAAACUGGCAGGCUAGAGUCUUGUAGAGGGGGGUAGAAUUCCAGGUGUAGCGGUGAAAUGCGUAGAGAUCUGGAGGAAUACCGGUGGCGAAGGCGGCCCCCUGGACAAAGACUGACGCUCAGGUGCGAAAGCGUGGGGAGCAAACAGGAUUAGAAACCCUAGUAGUCCCA
This 473-nucleotide ribosomal RNA is filed under the name uncultured organism. RNAcentral's name for it is "partial 16S ribosomal RNA". It matches the Rfam family "Bacterial small subunit ribosomal RNA", at positions 333 to 797 of the family's 1533-position model. The record is from RNAcentral.